This 714-nucleotide ribosomal RNA is filed under the name Actinia fragacea. Its description in RNAcentral is "eukaryotic LSU rRNA". The stretch from base 217 to 370 matches the Rfam family "5.8S ribosomal RNA". Lineage: Eukaryota; Metazoa; Cnidaria; Anthozoa; Actiniaria; Actiniidae. The record is from RNAcentral.
CGUUCUUCCCAAACGUUAGAACAACACCGCGAACCGUGUGGAGAGUUGGGGGUCGCCCCGUCGUGGGCGUCAAACGAUGAGAGCGCUCGAUUCUCACGGCCCCCACGUUUAUUCCAAUUUUGUUCCCCCCAAAAAACACCUUUCCAGCAGAAAAGUAACACGUUUGUCCCGCACAACAACAACGGGACAGAUGGAGAAUUUUAAUAAAGAGUUCAUAACUUUUAACGGUGGAUCUCUUGGCUCGUGCAUCGAUGAAGAACGCAGCCAGGUGCGAUAAGUAGUGUGAAUUGCAGAAUUCAGUGAAUCAUCGAAUCUUUGAACGCAAAUGGCGCUCUUGGGUUUUCCCAGGAGCACGUCUGUCUGAGUGUCGGUUUCCAAAAACCAGCGCGCGCUCGCGUGUGCCGUCUUGAGGCGUCGCGGCCCCCCCACCCCCUCGCGUCAAUCGCAGGAGGAGGAGGCCUCGUCCCUUGAAAUGGAGCACGACCGAUCUGUGCGGCCAGGCGUCGCCACUUCGGGAAGGCCAAAAGCUUCUUUGCCCUUUCCCGAGGCGUUCGCCUGACCGCCGGUCCGGCCGGAGUUCGGCAGGCAGGCAGGCAGGCAGCCGGCCGGCCCUCGUGGCCGCCGCCGCCGCCGCCCACCUUCCAUUCUUGACCUCAGAUCAGGCGAGAUUACCCGCUGAAUUUAAGCAUAUUAAUAAGCGGAGGAAAAGAAACU